RNAcentral lists this small RNA (233 nucleotides) under Arabidopsis thaliana (thale cress). RNAcentral describes it as "ATSL193790". Lineage: Eukaryota; Viridiplantae; Streptophyta; Magnoliopsida; Brassicales; Brassicaceae. The record is from RNAcentral.
AAAAAAAUCAUUGUAGGAGGUAUACUCUUUCAUAUGAUUGUAGAAGAGGCGUAGCUUUUCAUAGGAUCAAGGAGGCGGAGACUACCAUUUGAUCCAAAAUAUAGAUCUGAACAUAUGAUCGCGGAGGUAGAGCUUACCGUUAUGAUCAAGGAUGUAAAUUUUAUUAUACGACCAAGAGGCAAAACCUACUAUUAUAAUCGAGAAGAGGAUAUAGUCUUUUACUCCAUAUAUAU